Molecule: ribosomal RNA, 549 nt
Filed under: uncultured archaeon
Lineage: Archaea
Description: bacterial SSU rRNA
Rfam family: Archaeal small subunit ribosomal RNA
Source: RNAcentral
ACGGGGCGCAGCAGGCGCGAAACCUCCGCAAUGUGAGCAAUCGCGACGGGGGGAUUCCAAGUGCCAUUCUUAACGGGAUGGCUUUUCAUUAGUGUAAAGAGCUUUUGGAAUAAGAGCUGGGCAAGACCGGUGCCAGCCGCCGCGGUAACACCGGCAGCUCUAGUGGUAGCAGUUUUUAUUGGGCCUAAAGCGUCCUGUAGCCGGUUUAUUAAGUCUCUGGUGAAAUCUUGCACGCUUAACUGUGGGAAUUGCUGGAGAUACUAGUAGGCUUGAGAUCGGGAGAGGUUAGAGGUACUCCCAGGGUAGAGGUGAAAUUCUGUAAUCCUGGGAGGACCGCCUGUGGCGAAGGCGUCUGACUGGAACGAUUCUGACGGUGAGGGACGAAAGCUAGGGGCGCGAACCGGAUUAGAUACCCGGGUAGUCCUAGCUGUAAACGAUGCGGACUUGGUGUUGGGAUGGCUUUGGGCUGUUUCAGUGCCGAAGGGAAGCUGUUAAGUCCGCCGCCUGGGAAGUACGGUCGCAAGACUGAAACUUAAAGGAAUUGGCGGG